RNAcentral lists this ribosomal RNA (253 nucleotides) under uncultured bacterium. Its description in RNAcentral is "partial 16S ribosomal RNA". It matches the Rfam family "Bacterial small subunit ribosomal RNA", at positions 524 to 776 of the family's 1533-position model. The record is from RNAcentral.
UACGAAGGGGGCUAGCGUUGCUCGGAUUUACUGGGCGUAAAGGGCGCGUAGGCGGACGAUCAAGUUGGGGGUGAAAUCCCGGGGCUUAACCUCGGAACUGCCUCCAAAACUGAUCAUCUAGAGUUUGGGAGAGGUGUGUGGAACUCCGAGUGUAGAGGUGAAAUUCGUAGAUAUUCGGAAGAACACCAGUGGCGAAGGCGACACACUGGCCCAAUACUGACGCUGAGGCGCGAAAGCGUGGGGAGCAAACAGG